Molecule: ribosomal RNA, 933 nt
Filed under: Sclerenchymomyces clematidis
Lineage: Eukaryota; Fungi; Ascomycota; Dothideomycetes; Pleosporales; Leptosphaeriaceae
Description: SSU rRNA
Rfam family: Eukaryotic small subunit ribosomal RNA
Source: RNAcentral
CUUGGAUAACCGUGGUAAUUCUAGAGCUAAUACAUGCUUAAAACCCCAACUUCGGGAGGGGUGUAUUUAUUAGAUAAAAAACCAACGCCCUUCGGGGCUUCUUGGUGAUUCAUGAUAACUUUACGGAUCGCAUGGCCUUGCGCCGGCGACGGUUCAUUCAAAUUUCUGCCCUAUCAACUUUCGAUGGUAAGGUAUUGGCUUACCAUGGUUUCAACGGGUAACGGGGAAUUAGGGUUCGAUUCCGGAGAGGGAGCCUGAGAAACGGCUACCACAUCCAAGGAAGGCAGCAGGCGCGCAAAUUACCCAAUCCCGACACGGGGAGGUAGUGACAAUAAAUACUGAUACAGGGCUCUUUUGGGUCUUGUAAUUGGAAUGAGUACAAUUUAAACCUCUUAACGAGGAACAAUUGGAGGGCAAGUCUGGUGCCAGCAGCCGCGGUAAUUCCAGCUCCAAUAGCGUAUAUUAAAGUUGUUGCAGUUAAAAAGCUCGUAGUUGAAACUUGGGUCUGGCUGGCAGGUCCGCCUCACCGCGUGUACUUGUCCGGCCGGGCCUUCCUUCUGGAGAACCUCAUGCCCUUCACUGGGCGUGUUGGGGACCAGGACUUUUACUUUGAAAAAAUUAGAGUGUUCAAAGCAGGCCUUUGCUCGAAUACGUUAGCAUGGAAUAAUAGAAUAGGACGUGCGGUCCUAUUUUGUUGGUUUCUAGGACCGCCGUAAUGAUUAAUAGGGACAGUCGGGGGCAUCAGUAUUCAAUUGUCAGAGGUGAAAUUCUUGGAUUUAUUGAAGACUAACUACUGCGAAAGCAUUUGCCAAGGAUGUUUUCAUUAAUCAGUGAACGAAAGUUAGGGGAUCGAAGACGAUCAGAUACCGUCGUAGUCUUAACCGUAAACUAUGCCGACUAGGGAUCGGGCGAUGUUCUUUUUCUGACUCGCUC